RNAcentral lists this ribosomal RNA (494 nucleotides) under uncultured bacterium. RNAcentral's name for it is "partial 16S ribosomal RNA". It matches the Rfam family "Bacterial small subunit ribosomal RNA", at positions 28 to 507 of the family's 1533-position model. The record is from RNAcentral.
GACGAACGCUGGCGGCGUGCUUAACACAUGCAAGUCGAACGGAAAGGCCUGCUUUCCCUUGUGGAUUGCGGGUACUCGAGUGGCGAACGGGUGAGUAACACGUGAGUGAUCUGCCCCCAACUUGGGUAUAAGCCUGGGAAACUGGGUCUAAUUCCCGAUAGGACUGCAGGGUGGUGCCUGUGGUGGAAAACGAUUUUCUAGUGGUUGGGGAUGAGCUCGCGGCCUAUCAGCUUGUUGGUGGGGUAAUGGCCUACCAAGGCGGCGACGGGUAGCCGGCCUGGGAGGGGGGACGGCCACAUUGGGACUGAGAUACGGCCCAGACUCCUACGGGAGGCAGCAGUGGGGAGUAUUGCACAAUGGGCGGAAGCCUGAUGCAGCGACGCCGCGUGGGGGAUGACGGCCUUCGGGUUGUAAACUCCUUGCGACCGCGAGGAAGCCACCUGGUUGGAAGGGUGGUGACGGUAGUGGUAGAAGAAGCACCGGCUAACUACGUG